Molecule: long non-coding RNA, 1200 nt
Filed under: Homo sapiens (human)
Lineage: Eukaryota; Metazoa; Chordata; Mammalia; Primates; Hominidae
Description: novel transcript
Source: RNAcentral
GAGGCCUCCCCGUUCGCCUCCCAGAGGCCGCCACUUUCUUCAGGGCUAUCAGAUGAAGGCAGCAACGAAAACACCACCACAAGACCAACUUCAGGCUGGAGCUGAUGAUGCCACACAGCAAAUCAGCGAGAAAAAAGGUAUAAUAUUAGGCAGAAACCCAAUAUAAAAAGAAAAGCAGAGUUGUUGUAGAUUCAUCGAGGGUUGGCGACCUGGUUCCAAUGAGCCAUCUCCCUGUUCCGACAGGGGCUUCCUGGAGCUCCUGCAACCCCAGGCAUUAGUUCCGGUGCAGUUCUAGGAUCAGAUCAAUUCACUCGACAACAAGAGAAACAAAUGGAGAUUCCUACACAAAGACUUUCAAGCACAAAGAAAUCCUGCUGCCUGUAAAGCGGAGCUGCCUCAGCCCUUGAUGAACGACAGAAAAUCUCACAUUCCAGGAAUUCAGAUGAAGUGAAGUGCUCUCAUGGGGACCAGGCAUGGUUAUGCCAGUCCACUGCCCUGCAAGCCUCAAGGGAAGCCAACUGCCCUUCAGCAAGUCACACCUGCCUUGGUGGAGGCCUUGAUUGGAAGUGCCACACGCUACAUGUCCAGUCCUGAGCGGGAGAAUCGGUGUAGGGACGUUCUGGGGAUGCCAGCUGUGGCCAGAUCAGGUCCAACUACAGAAGAAUAAUGAAGACUCCACCUGAGGGCUGGAAAAACAAAACCUCAAGUGUGAGGCAGCCAACCUGUUACCUCGAGGGACUGUUCCGCAGCACAGCGGGGCCAUGGGAACAGCAGCAGACACCCCGACCUCCUCGCUACCUAUCAACUAUGGCCUGAGUAUGAUAGACUUAUCCAUGGUUUAAACAGAAUAUAUUGUUUUCAACUUUGAAAAUAAGAAUAUGGAAAUCCAGAUGCAGAAAUGUGAGAAGAAAAGAGAGUAAACAGAGUGGAAGGUCAGGUGACCUUGCCUGUCAUGAAUAUGAAGGUCAAGGUGUGUGAAUUGUGAAAUUUCCAAGAGAACCUCACUGAAGCAAAGAAUGAAGAAAGAAUUGCAUUUGGCCCUGGGAGGGUGCAGGGGUGAAUGGUGCAGGAGCUAAAUCUUUAUCAUACCCAGAAAUCAACAGCCACUAUUUGAAAUCAUCUAAAUUCGUGCUGCUAACCUUCAGUGUACACACGAAUCACCUGGGGAUCUUACUAAAAGCUAGUUUCUGAUUCACUAAA